This 332-nucleotide long non-coding RNA is filed under the name Olea europaea subsp. europaea. The record is from RNAcentral. Lineage: Eukaryota; Viridiplantae; Streptophyta; Magnoliopsida; Lamiales; Oleaceae.
CUUCUCUCAUCUCCUUUCGGCCAAACCCUUGCGAUCUCAAUUAGCAACCGUUCGAUUAACAAUAAUCCGUUCAAUCAGCCAUCUGCCAUUUCCGUCCAAACCCUUUUCCGAUUCCAAUUUUCCCAAGUCACCUAUAAUGGUCGAUCGCUGUCAUCGCUACUGCUUUACUCUUUCAACAAACCCAGGUAUUUGACAAUUUCAUAAAUGCGCCUCUGGUCAGUACUCCAGGUUUAUCUCCAGCAUUUGGAAGGUUCUACAUUUUAUCAUCUAAUUAAGGUGUGUGGAAUUUCAAAUAUGUUCUACUGUUUUCGGGUGAAUGCUUUUGCUUGGCG